Molecule: transfer RNA, 70 nt
Filed under: Helogenes marmoratus
Lineage: Eukaryota; Metazoa; Chordata; Actinopteri; Siluriformes; Cetopsidae
Description: tRNA-Gly
Source: RNAcentral
AUCUUUCUAGUAUCAACCAAUACAAGUGACUUCCAAUCACAUAAUCUCAGUUAAACCCCGAGGAAAGAUA